This is an RNA transcript of Lycium ferocissimum, 1333 nucleotides long. It is a transcript of the gene named ferritin-like catalase Nec2, with no coding region annotated. The transcript has 4 exons. NCBI's taxonomy places the organism in Eukaryota, Viridiplantae, Streptophyta, Magnoliopsida, Solanales, Solanaceae. The record is from RefSeq and is a predicted model, not a curated record.
AGAGGGUGAAUGAAGAUUUUGACGUUUCUCGAAUAAGCUUUCAACUUCAGAAUCAAAGAAUAUUAUAUAUUGAACCAAAACACACAUAUCACACACACAACAACUAAAAAUUUAAAAAAAAAAUCCCUUGUUCUACAUUAGCUUAAUUAUCAAUAUCAAAUUAAAUAUGGCUUUUAUAUCUGCCUCCACCUGCUUCUUGAUCAUUUACAUGGUCGUUAGUGAAACUCUCUGUGUGUCAGUUUCAUAUGAUAUAAAUACUUGUCCAUCAGGUUACCCAGAGAAGGGAGUGGCAGUGGACAAACAAGACAUAGACAAGAUGCAAUUUCCAGUGAACUUGGAGUUCUUGGAAGCUGAAUAUUUCUCAUGGGCUACUUAUGGAUAUGGUCUUGAUGUAGUAGCACCAAAAUUGGCUAUGGGUGGGCCUCCUCCUAUUGGUGGCCGAAAAGCAAAUCUUGAUCCACUUACGAAGAAUAUUAUUAUGGAGUUUGCUAAUCAAGAAGUUGGUCAUCUAAGGGCACUUAACUCGACAGUUGGUGUUUUUCCAAGACCUUUGUUGGAUCUAAGUGCUAAAAAUUUUGGAAAGAUCUUUGACGAAGCAUUUGGAUACAAAUUGAUACCUCCAUUUGAUCCAUAUAGAGACAGCUUGAGCUACAUGUUAUCCUGCUAUGUAAUUCCAUAUGUUGGAUUAGUUGGUUAUGUUGGUACCAAUCCCAAUAUCAAUGGCUACGAAACCAAAAGGCUUUUGGCAGGAUUAUUGGGUGUUGAAUCAGGACAAGACGCAGUUAUCAGGAUGUACCUCUAUGAGAGAGCGGCACAAUUUGUUUUUCCUUACAAACACACAGUAGCUGACUUCGCGUCUCGUAUAUCAGAACUAAGAAAUAAAUUAGCAAAAUGUGGGAACAAAGACGAAGGCCUAUUUGUUCCGCCACAACUUGGAGCAGAAAAUCGGACAAUAAGUAACGUAUUAUCUGAAGAUUUUAAUUCAAUUUCUUACAAAAGAACUCCUGCUGAGAUUCUGAGGAUCGUGUACGGCUCUGGUGAUGAACAUGUGCCUGGUGGAUUUUAUCCUAAUGGUGCUAAUGGAAGGAUUGCUAGGGAAUUUCUGAAACAGCCAUAUUGAGAAUAAUUAAAAAAUGAAGAGGGUACUUUGAAAUAAAAUACCUUAUCUAUUACUAGUAGGUAAAUAAACAUGCAUGAUACUUUAUCUAUUACUAGUAUAUACUAGUCAUAAGUAAAUAAAGCUAAAUAAGUGCUUACAUGCAGGGGUUUGUAGCAGCUCUACAUAAAAGCAGAAUUUCAGAAUAAAAAGUUACUAUUAAAUAUUAUUCUACUA